UACGUAGGGUGCAAGCGUUGUCCGGAUUUAUUGGGCGUAAAGAGCGUGUAGGCGGCCAGGUAAGUCAGCUGUGAAAACUCGAGGCUCAACCUCGAGACGUCAGUUGAAACCACCUGGCUAGAGUCCGGAAGAGGAGAGUGGAAUUCCUGGUGUAGCGGUGAAAUGCGCAGAUAUCAGGAAGAACACCCGUGGCGAAGGCGGCUCUCUGGGACGGUACUGACGCUGAGACGCGAAAGCGUGGGGAGCGAACAGG
RNAcentral lists this ribosomal RNA (253 nucleotides) under uncultured bacterium. Its description in RNAcentral is "partial 16S ribosomal RNA". It matches the Rfam family "Bacterial small subunit ribosomal RNA", at positions 524 to 776 of the family's 1533-position model. The record is from RNAcentral.